RNAcentral lists this ribosomal RNA (410 nucleotides) under uncultured bacterium. RNAcentral's name for it is "bacterial SSU rRNA". It matches the Rfam family "Bacterial small subunit ribosomal RNA", at positions 943 to 1353 of the family's 1533-position model. The record is from RNAcentral.
GGGGGAAUUGGUUAACCGGGAAGAACCCUUUCCAAGGCUUGACUUACACGGAAACGGCCCAGAAAUGUUCAACUCUUGGGACACUCGUGAACAGGUGGGGCAUGGUUCUCGUCAGCUCGUGUCGUGAGAUGUUGGGUUAAGUCCCGCAACGAGCGCAACCCUCGUUUUAUGUUGCCAGCGCGUAAUGGCGGGAACUCAUAGGAGACUGCCGGGGUCAACUCGGAGGAAGGUGGGGAUGACGUCAAAUCAUCAUGCCCCUUAUGUCUUGGGCUUCACGCAUGCUACAAUGGCCGGUACAAAGGGCUGCAAUACCGUAAGGUGGAGCGAAUCCCAAAAAGCCGGUCUCAGUUCGGAUUGAGGUCUGCAACUCGACCUCAUGAAGUCGGAGUCGCUAGUAAUCGCAGAUCAGC